GCCUCAAUUGGUUGCUGUUAGAAAUGAGUCAUUAGUUGGUGAACUCAAAGACGCUUUGGCUAAUGCUGAGCACAGGCCUGAGAUCAUUCCUGGAGAGGAAGUUGUCAUAGAGGUUGCUCGCCACCCAGAUGUUGUCACAGUUGUCACAUGAAUAGUAGGCUGUGCAGGUUUGAAGCCUACCAUGGCUGCAAUAGAGGCAGGAAAAGACAUAGAAUUGGCGAAUAAAGAGACCCUGAUUGCUGGAGGUCCUUUUGUACUUCCUCUGGCGCACAAGUAAAAAGUAAAAAUACUUCCUGCAUAUUCAGAACAUUUUGCUAUAUUUCAGGUAUAUAAGCUUAUUGUUAGGAAGUCA
Magnolia sinica is the source of this 352-nucleotide long non-coding RNA. RefSeq lists it as uncharacterized. The transcript is spliced from 3 exons. Lineage: Eukaryota; Viridiplantae; Streptophyta; Magnoliopsida; Magnoliales; Magnoliaceae. The record is from RefSeq and is a predicted model, not a curated record.